AUUGAACGCUGGCGGCAGGCCUAACACAUGCAAGUCGAACGAGUGGCGGACGGGUGAGUAAUGUCUGGGAAACUGCCCGAUGGAGGGGGAUAACUACUGGAAACGGGCGCUAAUACCGCAUACUAUCAGAUGAGCCUAGGUGGGAUUAGCUUGUAGGUGGGGUAAUGGCUUACCAAGGCGACGAUCCGUAACUGGUCUGAGAGGAUGACCAGUCACACUGGAACUGAGACACGGUCCAGACUCCUACGGGAGGCAGCAGGGGGGAAUAUUGGACAAUGGGCGAAAGCCUGAUCCAGCCAUGCCGCGUGUAUGAAGAAGGUCUUCGGAUUGUAAAGUACUUUCAGUUGGGAGGCGUUACCCGCAGAAUAAGCACCGGCUAACUCCGUGCCAGCAGCCGCGGUAAUAC
RNAcentral lists this ribosomal RNA (406 nucleotides) under uncultured bacterium. RNAcentral describes it as "partial 16S ribosomal RNA". It matches the Rfam family "Bacterial small subunit ribosomal RNA", at positions 30 to 526 of the family's 1533-position model. The record is from RNAcentral.